RNAcentral lists this long non-coding RNA (1387 nucleotides) under Bos taurus (domestic cattle). RNAcentral's name for it is "long non-coding RNA NONBTAT002631". The record is from RNAcentral. Lineage: Eukaryota; Metazoa; Chordata; Mammalia; Artiodactyla; Bovidae.
UAUUUAUGAUGUCACAUUUACAGGCCAUGAAGCUCAGGAAAUGGGUGGGCAGGUCAUCUUUGAUUUUAAUAGGCAGAUAUCUUUAGAGAAUCUUAUCUGCAAAAAAAUGGUGAGAACAAGAAAUCCUACAUGAUGUUAUUUCUUCAUCUGAGAGUUCAUUUAAGGCUGUCUAGAUGAAUCUUUGCACUGAUUUUUGUAUAAUAGUCGACCGUUCACUAUUUGACAAAACGUUUCAGAAUGCCUUUAGUAGUGAAGUUGAGAUAAGUUCCUAUAUUUUGCAAUUUGAAAGAUAAUUAGUUAACAAGUUGCAUAGAUUCCUGAAACUGUUUGAAAUGGUUCAUGAUGUUCUUUGAGGUUUGAGUGAAAUGUCUGAUUUCAAUGUCUGGACUUAUGUUCCAUGGCGCACAUCAUUUAAAGAAUUGUCAUUAACUGAUAAAACAGAUUGGAAAACUAGGUGCCAAAGGUACAUUUAAGAAAAUACCAAAGACCCAAAGAUGAGUGUUAGAUAGACUAUGAUAAUGAAGAUAAGAACCUAAAGUAAGGAUUAUACAGGACAUGGAAGAACAUUAUUAAAGGGAUUUGGAAUGAUUUGCUUACUAACGUGCUUUCAGAGCACUUUCUACAUACAUGAUAGUAAUAGUCAAGGGCACUGCUUGGGCCUUCAGUGGUCAUAUGUUUUCACAAACAUAUGUGACUUUUCUAAACAUUGUGACUUUUCAACAUUGUAUCUUCCCUUGUUGAAUGCCAUCUUGUAAUCAAGAAGGUCUUUAUCUCUUCAAGAGAAUUUUGUUUUUAGUUUUGAUUCACUACUUGCUCCCUCUAAUGAAUUAUCAGGGUGAUUAACAUGGAUGCUUUUGGUAUAAAGAAUAUGAGUUCCCUAAUUAGCAUGCAUUGUUAAAGACCACAUAGAUAUAUAACUGAUAAAAUUAUCAGGUUUCUAUUUAAUUGCUCAGUCAGAAUUAGAGAAAAAUGAUUUGGAACAAAUUAAAAUAUUAUAGUUGGGGCUAAUUUUUAAGGCAAUUUAGUAUGAAUGGUGAGAUAGCUUUGACAUACGCUUGGUUUAGAACAGUAUCUAUAAGAAAAAAACACACCAGUGCUAAUAGAUAUGACUUACAAAAAUGCAACAUACUGAAACUGUUUGAGGAUAUAAAUGUGUAUACUUGGGGAUUGAAAAGAGAGGGGGAGAAAAAAUUACCAAGAAAGUGUAAUAUUGUAAAAUUUACUGUUUGUCCGAAAUCUUAAAGCAAGAACUCUUGGGCAAUGAACCUGUAACAGACAUAAAAUCUGUUUUAUUUGAUGACAUCAUUAACUGAGCUCUCUGAAUUUUACAUUCAUAUACAGAGAAGGAACUGUCUUAGAAUUCAUUGGUAUUUGUGAAUAUGCUUCU